UCCAAAGACAAUUCUCAAGUAUGCCGUUUCUAUCACUCUUCAAUUUCCCGCAAAAAACUGAUCCAUUGACAUGAAGCUGAAGAUCUCAGACUAAGUUUACCCAACAACGACAAGGUUUCUGCUUUCAUCUUUGUCUGAGAUCUUCACAGUUUUUUGCUUUAAGUUCCACUACCAUUCAGAAUUAGGUGGACUGGUUGCGGUAUACUAAGUUGCAGCCACCAAUUUUGAGGGCAAAUGAUCAUGCUUAAUUGUUCUGAUGAAAGUCUUGGAUGCUGUUAGCUCUGAGAAAGAUAAAUAUAUUUGCCAUGGGCGUAACCUACUUGUCAGUUUCAGCAUUCUGCACUGUUCUGAGCUAUGUCGGACUCCAGUGUUGGAUGGGAAUUUCGGUUGAGAAACUAAAAUCAGAUGGGCUCAUCGGGGAGAGUAUUAUUAACUUCAGGAAUGGAAGCCGUGCAUUAGAGAACCUUUUAGGUUCACAUACAACAAUUGCUCUGGGAGCCAAUUUUGCAGUCAACGUAUUUAUACUGCUAGUUUUGUUUCUUAAGACUAUAUUCUUUGGAGAUUUGCACUCGUCAGAAAUCCGAAAGCUGGCUGAACGCCUUAUCAAUUAUAUUAUUUCCAAGGGAACUUUUCUUCCGUUGGUUGUUCCACCUACCCUGUAUCAAGCAGGCCUGUGGUCAACGUGGCUAGCUGUUCUUUGCUUUUUAAAGAUGUUUCAAGCUUUAGCUAGGGAUCGACUUGAACGAUUGAAUGCCUCUCCUUCAGCUACUUCCUGGUCAUAUUUCCGGGUGUAUUCUGCUUUAUUGCUGGUUCUCUCAGCCAACUUACUCUGGAUGAGGGCGUGCCUGAUUGUAUAUAAAACAAUAAGUUCAUCCCUUUUUUUGUUAUUGUUCUUUGAGCCUCUUAGCAUAGCAUUUGAGACGCUACAGGCUAUUCUUGUUCAUGGAUUCCAGCUGCUUGACAUAUAUAUCCAUGACUCAGCAAAUGAUAUUUCAAAUAGUAGAAUAUCCG
RNAcentral lists this unclassified non-coding RNA (1011 nucleotides) under Hevea brasiliensis (rubber tree). The record is from RNAcentral. Lineage: Eukaryota; Viridiplantae; Streptophyta; Magnoliopsida; Malpighiales; Euphorbiaceae.